GAGCCAAAGAGGUUCAAAAGUUUAUGAAGACAACCUUGAAAGUUUUGCAUUUGUGUCCUUUGAAGAGAUAAUACAGGUCGUGUGCAGAUACAGAAAUAAACGAAGAUUUCAGUUGUGGAGAGCCCAUUUACAUUCUACAGAAAGAAGUCUAAGUAACGCAAAAGGCUCUGUAAAAUUUUCUCUAUGCACAUUAAGAGCACAGUCCUGCUUCUACUGGAUUCCUGUCAAUUUGUCCUCGUCUGUAAGCUCAGCCAAGUGUUGUCUGGCCACUUCAUGGAUGA
This is a long non-coding RNA of Cygnus atratus (black swan), 281 nucleotides long. RefSeq lists it as uncharacterized. The transcript has 3 exons. The record is from RefSeq and is a predicted model, not a curated record. Lineage: Eukaryota; Metazoa; Chordata; Aves; Anseriformes; Anatidae.